CCUCCUUGACGCAGCAGUGAGUUAUAUUUUUCAAUGGGGUAAACCCUUAACCAUCAACUCCGCUUUAUUUAAGACGUUUUUCGUAUUGUAAACCUCUGUCCUCUGUUAAUAUAAUGACGUUAGCAGAGGAGGAAGCUCCGGCUAACUACGUGCCAGCAGCCGCGGUAAUACGUAGGGAGCAAGCGUUGUCCGGAUUUACUGGGUGUAAAGGGUGCGUAGGCGGCUUUGCAAGUCAGAAUUGAAAUCCAUGUGCUUAACCCAUGAACUGCUUUUGAAACUGCAGAGCUUGAGUGGAGUAGAGGUAG
This 305-nucleotide ribosomal RNA is filed under the name uncultured bacterium. RNAcentral's name for it is "bacterial SSU rRNA". It matches the Rfam family "Bacterial small subunit ribosomal RNA", at positions 338 to 660 of the family's 1533-position model. The record is from RNAcentral.